GCCAGGAGCUGGGCAAAGCACCUGCAGAAAGCCCCCAAGGAACGGCUGUGGUGAAGGUCCGAUGAUGCCAAACAUUUUCAUUUCUCAGGAGAAAAAGUCAGUGGUGCUUGGCAGGAUUUGGACUUCUCUGCAAGACACCUCUGAUCACAACACAUCCUCAUGGUUUGAAAAAUUCAUCCAAGAACCUGCAAUGUCACAAACAGGAGCUGGAGCUAAACAUGUCUGGGAAGACAAAUUCCUUAACUGUUCAGUGCUGAAGGACAUGUUAAUUUGUGAACCGUACCAAAAAGACAUUUUUAUAACACGUUUAACGCUCCAAAGCUAUGAGGGAACAGCAGCGAGAGUGAAGGAGGACAGCUCUGCUGGUAUUAAAAGGGUCAUUAAACUCAGCAUUAGAAAGCUCCCCAAGAGUUUAUUUAAAGCAUUUAUUGCUUUCAACAGAAGAAGGAAGAAGCACAGAAUUUGGUCUAAAGAAAUUAAGUCAACUUUGAUGGAGGUAAUCAGCAGAAAUAUAGCUUUAUUGCAUUUAUGCUACAGAAUUUUGACAUAUAAACAAUACUUUCUUCAGCACAGGAAUUUAAAAGUCCUGUUCUAGCUAAAAAUGAAAAAUCUUUGUUGCUUCAUGGGCCUUUAAUGGGUGACAAAGUUCACGGCCAUUACCUUGAAGCCUCCAGUUGAAAUUUAGACUGAUUGUGAUUAAAAGUAAUUUCUGUCUGACAGCUCAUGUGAAGAGAGUUACUUCAUUUCAUAACAAAUAUGUGACCAACAGCCUAAAAAUUAUUAUCACAAUUUAACAAGACCAUUGGCAGUUCCAGGAGCACCAUGGAUAGAAGGAAG
This 837-nucleotide long non-coding RNA is filed under the name Taeniopygia guttata (zebra finch). RNAcentral's name for it is "lncRNA (ENSTGUG00000024099.1)". The record is from RNAcentral. Lineage: Eukaryota; Metazoa; Chordata; Aves; Passeriformes; Estrildidae.